Molecule: unclassified non-coding RNA, 21 nt
Filed under: Chlamydomonas reinhardtii
Lineage: Eukaryota; Viridiplantae; Chlorophyta; Chlorophyceae; Chlamydomonadales; Chlamydomonadaceae
Description: small RNA Cre_0187
Source: RNAcentral
ACAAAGGACGCAUCGCAGCCC